This 471-nucleotide ribosomal RNA is filed under the name uncultured bacterium. Its description in RNAcentral is "bacterial SSU rRNA". It matches the Rfam family "Bacterial small subunit ribosomal RNA", at positions 28 to 507 of the family's 1533-position model. The record is from RNAcentral.
GAUGAACGCUGGCGGCGUGCUUAACACAUGCAAGUCGAACGAAGAUGCCGGAGUGCUUGCACUUUGGCAGACUGAGUGGCGGACGGGUGAGUAACGCGUGGGUAACCUGCCUUAUACAGGGGGAUAACAGUUGGAAACGACUGCUAAUACCGCAUAAGCGCACGGUAUCGCAUGAUACAGUGUGAAAAACUCCGGUGGUACAAGAUGGACCCGCGUCUGAUUAGCUGGUUGGUGAGGUAAACGGGCCCACCAAGGCGACGAUCAGUAGCCGGCCUGAGAGGGUGAACGGCCACAUUGGGACUGAGACACGGCCCAAACUCCUACGGGAGGCAGCAGUGGGGAAUAUUGCACAAUGGGGGAAACCCUGAUGCAGCAACGCCGCGUGAGUGAAGAAGUAUUUCGGUAUGUAAAGCUCUAUCAGCAGGAAAGAAAAUGACGGUACCUGACUAAGAAGCCCCGGCUAACUACGUG